RNAcentral lists this ribosomal RNA (427 nucleotides) under uncultured bacterium. RNAcentral's name for it is "partial 16S ribosomal RNA". It matches the Rfam family "Bacterial small subunit ribosomal RNA", at positions 355 to 774 of the family's 1533-position model. The record is from RNAcentral.
UGGGGAAUAUUGCACAAUGGGCGCAAGCCUGAUGCAGCCAUGCCGCGUGUAUGAAGAAGGCCUUCGGGUUGUAAAGUACUUUCAGCGGGGAGGAAGGCGAUAAGGUUAAUAACCUUGUCGAUUGACGUUACCCGCAGAAGAAGCACCGGCUAACUCCGUGCCAGCAGCCGCGGUAAUACGGAGGGUGCAAGCGUUAAUCGGAAUUACUGGGCGUAAAGCGCACGCAGGCGGUCUGUCAAGUCGGAUGUGAAAUCCCCGGGCUCAACCUGGGAACUGCAUUCGAAACUGGCAGGCUAGAGUCUUGUAGAGGGGGGUAGAAUUCCAGGUGUAGCGGUGAAAUGCGUAGAGAUCUGGAGGAAUACCGGUGGCGAAGGCGGCGCCCUGGACAAAGACUGACGCUCAGGUGCGAAAGCGUGGGGAGCAAACA